This 253-nucleotide ribosomal RNA is filed under the name uncultured bacterium. RNAcentral's name for it is "partial 16S ribosomal RNA". It matches the Rfam family "Bacterial small subunit ribosomal RNA", at positions 524 to 776 of the family's 1533-position model. The record is from RNAcentral.
UACAGAGAGUGCAAACGUUGUUCGGAAUUACUGGGCUUAAAGCGCACGUAGGCGGUGUCGUAAGUGUCUGGUGAAAUCCCACGGCUCAACCGUGGAACUGCUCGGUAUACUGCUUAUCUUGAGCCACUUAGGGGCUACCGGAACAAAUGGUGGAGCGGUGAAAUGCGUAGAUAUCAUUUGGAACGCCAAUGGUGAAAACAGGUAGCUGGGAGUGUGCUGACGCUGAGACACGAAAGCCAGGGGAGCGAACGGG